GUCAGAAUGGCCGAGUGGUCUAGGGCACCAGUCUCAAAGAGAUUUGACUUUCUAAGCUAGUGAGAAUUCUGGUCAUCAACUGGAGUUGUGGGUUCAAAUCUCACUAUUGACA
Molecule: transfer RNA, 112 nt
Filed under: Danio rerio (zebrafish)
Lineage: Eukaryota; Metazoa; Chordata; Actinopteri; Cypriniformes; Danionidae
Rfam family: tRNA
About the family: Transfer RNA (tRNA) molecules are approximately 80 nucleotides in length. Their secondary structure includes four short double-helical elements and three loops (D, anti-codon, and T loops). Further hydrogen bonds mediate the characteristic L-shaped molecular structure. tRNAs have two regions of fundamental functional importance: the anti-codon, which is responsible for specific mRNA codon recognition, and the 3' end, to which the tRNAs corresponding amino acid is attached (by aminoacyl-tRNA synthetases). tRNAs cope with the degeneracy of the genetic code in two manners: having more than one tRNA (with a specific anti-codon) for a particular amino acid; and 'wobble' base-pairing, i.e. permitting non-standard base-pairing at the 3rd anti-codon position.
Source: Rfam by way of RNAcentral